UUCUGUAAGCCUGCGAAGGUGGCCUGUGAGGGUUGCUGGAGGUAUCAGAAGUGCGAAUGCUGACAUAAGUAACGAUAAAGCGGGUGAAAAGCCCGCUCGCCGGAAGACCAAGGGUUCCUGUCCAACGUUAAUCGGGGCAGGGUGAGUCGACCCCUAAGGCGAGGCCGAAAGGCGUAGUCGAUGGGAAACGGGUUAAUAUUCCCGUACUUGGUGUUACUGCGAAGGGGGGACGGAGAAGGCUAUGUUGGCCGGGCGACGGUUGUCCCGGUUUAAGCGUGUAGGUGUGUGUUCCAGGUAAAUCCGGUUCACUUUAACACUGAGGCGUGACGACGAGGCACUACGGUGCUGAAGCAACAAAUGCCCUGCUUCCAGGAAAAGCCUCUAAGCAUCAGGUAACAUCAAAUCGUACCCCAAACCGACACAGGUGGUCAGGUAGAGAAUACCAAGGCGCUUGAGAGAACUCGGGUGAAGGAACUAGGCAAAAUGGUGCCGUAACUUCGGGAGAAGGCACGCUGACA
RNAcentral lists this ribosomal RNA (518 nucleotides) under Salmonella enterica. RNAcentral describes it as "partial 23S ribosomal RNA". It matches the Rfam family "Bacterial large subunit ribosomal RNA", at positions 1239 to 1756 of the family's 2925-position model. Lineage: Bacteria; Pseudomonadati; Pseudomonadota; Gammaproteobacteria; Enterobacterales; Enterobacteriaceae. The record is from RNAcentral.